ACAAGUCAUUUAUUAAGACAUGCAGCUCUGGGAUCAACACAGAGAAAACUCGGAUUUUCCCUACUUUCUGAAGUUAGAUGGGCAUACAGGUCUAUAAAGUUACUACUAGAGACCUUGUUGCACACAUAAAUAGAGUGAAAACAAGACAAGUUGCAAGAUUAAACGAACCAACGCAACAACAUAUAUUGAAGAAUUCCAG
Molecule: long non-coding RNA, 199 nt
Filed under: Nicotiana benthamiana
Lineage: Eukaryota; Viridiplantae; Streptophyta; Magnoliopsida; Solanales; Solanaceae
Description: long non-coding RNA (NBEN_LNC005971)
Source: RNAcentral